This 497-nucleotide ribosomal RNA is filed under the name uncultured bacterium. Its description in RNAcentral is "partial 16S ribosomal RNA". It matches the Rfam family "Bacterial small subunit ribosomal RNA", at positions 28 to 507 of the family's 1533-position model. The record is from RNAcentral.
GAUGAACGCUGGCGGCGUGCCUAAUACAUGCAAGUCGAGCGAACGGACGAGAGGCUUGCUUCUCUGAUGUUAGCGGCGGACGGGUGAGUAACACGUGGAUAACCUACCUAUAAGACUGGGAUAACUUCGGGAAACCGGAGCUAAUACCGGAUGAUAUUUUGAACCGCAUGGUUCAAAAGUGAAAGACGGUCUUGCUGUCACUUAUAGAUGGAUCCGAGCUGCAUUAGCUAGUUGGUAAGGUAACGGCUUACCAAGGCAACAAUGCAUAGCCGACCUGAGAGGGUGAUCGGCCACACUGGAACUGAGACACGGUCCAGACUCCUACGGGAGGCAGCAGUAGGGAAUCUUGCGCAAUGGGCGAAAGCCUGACGGAGCAACGCCGCGUGAGUGAUGAAGGUCUUCGGAUCGUAAAACUCUGUUAGUAGGGAAGAACAUAUGUGUAAGUAACUGUGCACAUCUUGACGGUACCUAAUCAGAAAGCCACGGCUAACUACGUG